RNAcentral lists this transfer RNA (69 nucleotides) under Termitogeton planus. RNAcentral describes it as "tRNA-Tyr". The record is from RNAcentral. Lineage: Eukaryota; Metazoa; Arthropoda; Insecta; Blattodea; Rhinotermitidae.
AGUGGGGUGGCUGAGGUGUUAAGGUGGUAGGCUGUAAAUCUAUUUAGGGGCAGAUACGCUCCCUCACUA